This 865-nucleotide small RNA is filed under the name Pongo abelii (Sumatran orangutan). Its description in RNAcentral is "processed transcript". Lineage: Eukaryota; Metazoa; Chordata; Mammalia; Primates; Hominidae. The record is from RNAcentral.
GGAGCUGGAUCCGGCUUCCGGAAGGUGAGGGCCGGCGGGCAGGGGCUAGGCAGGCGCGGACGCUCCGUCCCGACCUCACGCGUGACACCGUGAGGGCCAGACGCCAGCCCCCGCGCCGCCCCCUGUGCCUUUGAGGUUGGGCCCGUUCUCAGACUCCAUCUCCGGCCGGGCCGCGCGCCCCGCACCCUCCUGGGCUGGUGUCUCGCAGCUGGAGCUGGUGAGCAGGCUGCUGCACCUGCACUUCAAGGAUGACAAGACCAAAGUGAGCGGGGAUGCGCUGCAGCUCAUGGUGGAGUUGCUGAAGGUCUUCGUUGUGGAAGCAGCAGUCCGCGGGGUGCGGCAGGCCCAGGCAGAAGACGCGCUCCGUGUGGACGUGGACCAGCUGGAGAAGGUGCUUCCGCAGCUGGUGCGUGAGCAUGGGUCGGGGCGCAAGUGGGGGUGCCCGGCUGGCUGGCCCUAAGUGCUUCUCUCCCCCACAGCUCCUGGACUUCUAGGGAUCUCAGCCGUGGCUGAAGCCACCCCCAGAGGAGCCCCUGGUCCACAGAAGCAGGCCUUGUGUUUCCAGCGGCCUCUGAUAACAGGCAGGGAAGGACCUGAGGGAUUUGGAGUUGAUUCAAACAAGAUCUCUGGGAGUCUCCAGCCUGUGCAGAAGGGGCAGGACUGCAGCACGCUGCUGGCCUUGGAGUGUCCAGUGGGGACACUGGUGUGGGAAGGGGCAGCACCUGGGGAGUCCCUGCCUCUCCUCCCUGGGGCAAUAGUGUGCAUGCAUGCCACCUGGGGUCCUACAGGCAGGUGCUGGGAAAGGCCUGGCCAGCAGGUAGCCUGUGUGUUUGACAAACAGCGGCUGGCAGCGCUGCCUCCUGCC